GAUGAACGCUGGCGGCGUGCCUAAUACAUGCAAGUCGAGCGAACAGAUAAGGAGCUUGCUCCUUUGACGUUAGCGGCGGACGGGUGAGUAACACGUGGGUAACCUACCUAUAAGACUGGGAUAACUUCGGGAAACCGGAGCUAAUACCGGAUAAUAUUUCGAACCGCAUGGUUCGAUAGUGAAAGAUGGUUCUGCUAUCACUUAUAGAUGGACCCGCGCCGUAUUAGCUAGUUGGUAAGGUAACGGCUUACCAAGGCGACGAUACGUAGCCGACCUGAGAGGGUGAUCGGCCACACUGGAACUGAGACACGGUCCAGACUCCUACGGGAGGCAGCAGUAGGGAAUCUUCCGCAAUGGGCGAAAGCCUGACGGAGCAACGCCGCGUGAGUGAUGAAGGUCUUCGGAUCGUAAAACUCUGUUAUUAGGGAAGAACAUACGUGUAAGUAACUGUGCACGUCUUGACGGUACCUAAUCAGAAAGCCACGGCUAACUACGUG
Molecule: ribosomal RNA, 497 nt
Filed under: uncultured bacterium
Lineage: Bacteria
Description: partial 16S ribosomal RNA
Rfam family: Bacterial small subunit ribosomal RNA
Source: RNAcentral